RNAcentral lists this ribosomal RNA (406 nucleotides) under uncultured bacterium. RNAcentral's name for it is "partial 16S ribosomal RNA". It matches the Rfam family "Bacterial small subunit ribosomal RNA", at positions 29 to 526 of the family's 1533-position model. The record is from RNAcentral.
AUUGAACGCUGGCGGCAGGCCUAACACAUGCAAGUCGAACGAGUGGCGGACGGGUGAGUAAUGUCUGGGAACCUGCCCGAUGGAGGGGGAUAACUACUGGAAACGGUAGCUAAUACCGCAUACCAUCGGAUGUGCCCAGAUGGGAUUAGCUAGUAGGUGGGGUAACGGCUCACCUAGGCGACGAUCCCUAGCUGGUCUGAGAGGAUGACCAGACACACUGGAACUGAGACACGGGCCAGACUCCUACGGGAGGCAGGAGUGGGGAAUAUUGCACAAUGGGCGCAAGCCUGAUGCAGCCAGGCCGCGUGUAUGAAGAAGGCCUUGGGGGUGUAAAGUACUUUCAGCGAGGAGGCGUUACUCGCAGAAGAAGCACCGGCUAACUCCGUGCCAGCAGCCGCGGUAAGAC